GCCGGCCCUGAUCAAGACGGAGUGAGACACUCUACCCUCCUCCCGCCAUCCCCUUCCCUCACCAGUUCCUACCAUAUCAGAAGGCCCACGCGCGCGUGGACGCGCGACCGGCCUCCCUUCCCGACCUUCCCCAGACCUUUCCCUAUGACGACGCGUGUUCUUUUUUUUUUUUUUUGUCUUCUCUAGUUUGGCGCGAAAGCGUGCUCGCGAUGCGACCACAAGUGUCGAAGCCAUGGACGCUGCUUGGAAUGGCGUUGUGGUCCACUGGCUGCACCCAUCGUGGACCUUGCUGUCGCCUUCCCCCCCCUGCCUACCUCAAGAAACACUGCAUUCAGGGGCGCGGGUAUGGUGCGGUCCCGACAACUUCUUUUUGUUCGUUUUCUUUUCACUCGCGAAAAGAAACCCACUCAAGUGAUGAAGCCCUGCAGCCUGCGUUUCCUGUAGGCCAGAGCUGAAUGGACGCUGUGUACGAUGAUGUAAAUGCAGUGAGCAACUCAGGGAAUAUUGCAAAUGCAAAAAGAGUUCAUGAAUUGUCUGUAUAAUAGUGUAAACUGUGCUCAGGCUGUGGAAUCCAACGAGAUAUCCAUGUGUUCUACCUGUCUAUGGCCUGUUGUAUGUGCAUCCUAUCAUUGUCCUUUUUACAUAGUGGUGACAUUGUUUCUUUUUUUAGACUUGCUUUUGAUGUUUGAGCAGCACUGCCGGCUUAAUAGGCAUGAUCAUGCUACCUCAGAUAAGGCUGGUAAUUCCUGUUUUUUACCACUCUACCUCAAAAUUGCAUUUUUACCUAUUGCAAGUAUUCGGACCAAAAAUCUCACCCAUUUACUCUUUUUCACUCACACUGUCCAGGCAUUCAUACCAUUUAAUCACUCCGAGCACUGAAGGCAGGCAAACUGAGAUUCACGUUAUGUGAAAAGCACACAACUUUCAAAAGGAAAACGACUAGACGGGACAGCUGCCAGUGCCAUUAUACAUAAAAUGAAAUGUUUUAUCCUUUCAACAUAUUAUGUAUACAAUGUACAUUUUUUUAUACCAGUGUCUGAUCACUGAGACUGAUGUUAGUUUCAGAUAUAGUUGUGUUGAUCUUGGAUAGAGAUUUAUCUGGGUUUUACGUGUAUUUUGCCCCCCUGUCUACUUCAUUUCUUGCUUGGGCUUCAACAGUUCUUUUCUCAGUGAAGGAAAAUGAGAAAGCAUCAAAGGAAGAAUGUGUCCAAUUUUUGUAUUACAUUGUUGGCUCAUAUUUAGGAACGUUUUCCCACCUUUGCAUUGUUGAUUGUGUCCUGUACAUAGGUCUCAGUGGGACGGCUGUCAAGACAAACCCCCUCCUACAAAGGCUGUGGUACAUUUUUGGCCUUAACUGCUGUUCCAAUGACACAACGAUUACCCGUGCACGCAGUGUCCAAAGUGAAUUCCUAGCCACAUUGAUGGCAUCCACCAGCUCUAAAGCUUUGCUACAUAAUCUUGCUUAUUUUCUUUCAAAUUUUUAACCAUAUAGAAUGUGCAUUGCCUGGUUCUUAAGGUAUUUGAAGAUGCAGCAUAUUUCAGAUAGCAUGAAAUAUUUGAAAAGGAUGCAUAACUGUGUUCUCUGUGUCUUUAGGGAAUUUCAUUAAGGCAUAUUUAUAGCUUAAAGCUAUUAAUAGAGCCAAAAACACUUUCGAAUAUGUUUCAGUGCACUAUUAAAGAUUGAAUAAUGCACAGUGCAUCAAAUAAAGUUCACUCUCCUUGAGGUCCUCAGUUGGUAUCUUUGUACACUGCGAGCACAUGAAGGAAGCACGUGCAAAUGGACGCAGUUCAAGUCCUGUUGUACCCUCUCUCAAAAUCAAAUGCACGAAAGCAGAAAACUCAAAAGAUGUUAACAUAAUUUAAAUAUAUAUGUGUGUAAACACAAUGUGUGUGCUACUUUAGAUAUAAUAUCCGCUUGUAAGAAUAACAGCUACUGGUAUUAUAUUUGCAAGUGUGCGCGUGAGAAGUGAGAAACCUUCUGAAGCACUUGUGUAACAAACCUUAAGAGACGCUUUGGCACGGGAAUACUUUGGCAUUUUUCUUGAUGGCUAUUGACCAUGUAGACCAUGUUCGUUCGCACUGUUUUGGUGUGCGAGAGUGUGACUACUUUAUACUGGAUUGAACUUUAACUACUAGUCUGCUCAUUCAGACAAGACAAACUUUAAUCACUGCUAUCUGCCAUAUCUGUUUUCUGUUAUUAUUAUUUUCACAUUAUCACUACACAUUGUGUAACAGCCUUCUGCAUUGGAUCCUGUUUUGUGUGCUCAUUCUGCACAAGAUUCGUAGCAUGAUUCGUGUUUCUUCGAGUUUUCUACUUCAGCAGUAUGAGAUGGAGGUGGGGUCUUCUUCAUCGUCGCUGAUGCCACAUGUGCUGAAAUCGGUCAGUUUGUUUUGGGGUGAAAAACUACAUUUUCUACCAAUUCUUUUUUGUCUGGCACACCAAAGCCGAGUACCGCACAUUAUCAACACAGGAAACAAACCCUUUGUAUCCAGCAGUUGCGGCGUGAAACACAAAAUUAUUUCUCCUCUGUAGUACGUCAUUAUGCAUUACUUUGCCUUUUGAUGUGGCGGAUCGUUUAACUUUUGGUUCUCACCACAUGACUCAUGCAUCUCACUACAGAGCAGAUGUCAGUGUCCCUGCUUGGUGGCUACUUGUAAUCAGCUUUCGAGAGGCUCCCGUUGAUUUUCGGCUACACUGCCUUGCAAUACUUUUAAAUUUAUUUAUAUAUGUUACAUCAGCAAAACAUGCAAUAAGUUUCUACGGGUGUAUUUGAAACUCUUAUGCGAGUACCCACGAAAUAUAGUGGCGUCAAAACCGAUAAACAAUAAAGAUUUGGCAAAGAAUUUUACUGCUGGCAACCUUGUAUGUUUUACGCAAGAUUGCUUUGCCUUCAUGAAAAAACAAAAUUCAGAUUGUGUAAAUGAAUCUUGUCGUUCGAAAUGCUGACAAGCGUGUUUGGCCUACCACUUUAGUAGAAAGGCAUAUUGGAAUUAACACAAUGACCCCCGACGACAGCAGUCUGUAGAGUGCUCUCAUAUUCAUCCGCAUGACUUGUGGCCAUUUGAAAAUGGCGCAAAGUGCAUUCUGCAUGAGGAAGCAAAACCAUUGAAUCUUGCGUGGUUCAUUUUUGUACGGCUGUUGAUCUCUCGUUUUCUUCUUUCGCACCGCACAUCACCAAAUUCGGUGCUUAAUUUUCACCGCCUUCGCAUAGCGUCGGUUAUAGAAAUUUUCCUCACGUUAGAUCUCGUGUCGUUUAACAUUCAGGAAUGGCGGUAUUCGCUCAAACUGGGGGCUACAAGCUGGUCAAAGCCAGAUGCUCACCUCGUGACGUAAAUUGGUUAAGCCUGAUUGGUUAAUUAAGCUGGCAUUACCGCCUUUCACGUGAUUUGCGGCAUCACUUGACUUCAUAAGGAAUUGUUUUAUUUGGAAGUCGUCGCCCGAGCGGUGUUAAAAACGCCUGUUUGGGUGCCUCGCUCGCGUUUUCCCUGGCUCAGAUCGUUGAUACUUAUCGCACCACCCGUGGCAUCUUUCGGAAGGGGGUUCCUGGUAUGCCGCCUCGCAAGAGUGCACUGCUUCUUCUUCCAGUGCCAAUCGAACCUCUCACGUCGCAUCAUCCUCCGCAAUCCGCGCUGCACAUUUUUUUUUAUGUUUCUUUAGCGGGCGCAUGCGCGUCGCACACUCAUACACUCACUCACACACGCAGACAUUGAACACGUACAAGCAGCAUUUCGCAAUAAAAUCGACAUCGUUGAAAGCGGGUAUUUUUUCUGUUGUCUUAACCGAAGGACUGAACUGCAGGGAAGUGUGCAACGGUAACUUAUGUUGUGUAAUCGCCUGAGAGUAGGAGAUCGCAAAGCAGAGGCUUUUCUUCUCCCUCUUUUAUACUUCUAUUUGUCUUAUCCUUCAUGUUUCGUUUGUUUUUUACGCAAGGAAAAAAAAGAGUAUGUUUAUCAUAGUUUCUUUGUUUAUAUAGUCUUAAUUCUCUCUCGCUCGUGCUUUCCUUCUCCCCUCCUCCUCACACAAUUUUUAUGUGUGUGCAGUUUGUGGUGAAGUCUCUCAUCGUUGGUGGACCUUUUCUUUAUUUUUUUCCUCGCGCUUUCUCGAAAAUGAGCGUGAACGUACGUGUGUGGCGAAGUUUUUCCAAGUCCAAAUAUAAUAUACAUGCUACGGUGUGACGUGUCGGCGUUCCGCUGCGUUCUCCUGUCAACAUUCAGGGAUUUCUACACAUGCUGAUGCAUAUUAUACAGUUAUAGGGGGAACGUAGCGGAAGCUUUGGCACGAUGCAAGCUUCGCUUAUUUUUAUUUUAGACUGAUUUGCCGUAGUGCUUUGUCGCAUUCUUUUUUUAUUUUUGCUCUUCACUUUCAUGACGUAUUUUUUUGUUGUUGUUGUGCUGUAUGGUCGUGACUGAACGGACGAUUGUGUGUAAAAGCCAUAAGCAGGAAAAUGAAAAAAGUGAAUGCACUACGUUAUUCGACAGUCGAGCUCUGCAAGGUUUUUUUGUUAUGUUGCACAUAUGUUAGGACAUCAGCCGAUUCCAAGGUGUUGGGUAUCACUUAAUGGAGCUGACUCUAGUGUUACGUGAUUGCUGUCAUUUCUUAAGUGUAACUAUAACUUAAGAAAUCACAUUAAAAUGUUGUGCGAAAAACCUUUGUCAACGUCUAAACAGGCAUGUGCGAAAUGUGGCGACAUCUUACUAAUGAGGCUGACAUUAAACUGACAUUUCGUACUUUAUAACUGCAGGUAAUCGUCAUAUUUAAAAUUAGCCUUUUUAUGAGAGGCAGAAAUGUGAACUAACUCUUGCAGAGCACGACGUUGGUAUACUACUUCCGGGGUAGUAAGGAGAAUCGUGUGUGCGUUACAUGCGUUGAAAUUUAUGCUAAUCUACUUUACUGAACGUAUGCUCGACCAGGGAAGCACAAGGGCAAACUGAAACUGUCAGAGUUUCACUUUCAUAAAUUUAGUUCUCAUAUGAGAUGUAGUCGGCUUGGAAUAGUGCCAUUUUAUCACAAUCGUAAUAGCACUGACUCUUAAUGAAAAGGAAAAAAAAAAGUGUUUGUGCGUUAUGAUAUCAUUUUUAAUAAAAGUUUUGUUUUACAAGAAAAAUUUGUUGUUAGGUUUAAUAUAUUUACUGUCUCUCGUGUAAUCUUCGAGUUGCACUGGAUUAUUCUUAUAGGUUCGUAUAUCUGAAAAAAAAUACAUCUUGACUGUGAAUGGAAACUGUUCAAAAUUCCCGCCUAUGGGGCAAUCAAUAGGAUUGUAGCGCCGCCUAGUGGCUGAUCAAUGCAUCGUAACAAGGGAAGUGGUGCAACCUACCACUACACUGCGCACUAGCUCUUUGGAAGGAAAGCGGUCUGCAGUGGUGCUUCGUUCGAAGUGACCGCACAUAACUGCGUCGUCAACUGUCUUUCUUGGAACAUUAUUUUAACUGUAAAUGCCGAUUAUUGUAACAGUGCAAUCAAAUCGCUUUCUAGCCAGGUCUUCAUUGCAUGGUUUUCAAUGGUGAUUAGACUUACUUAAGUCUCUUUAUUGCCCCGGUUGUGGUGUCCCAGACCACCGUAGUGAUUGUGUAAGGAAACUAAGAUAUGAAAGAUGCGAGAACGUGUGAAAAGGAAACAGACUUAUAAAAGCAGAUAAAAAAAAAUGAAGUGCACGCGACCGCUCUUUUUUUGUUUGUCGUGGUGCUGUGACUUAGAGUUCCUUAUAGAUCUUUAGCGGGAAGGCCGUCGGGGACCGGAGAUCUAUUGCGGGUAUUUCGAAAUCAUAUUUUGGAUUGAAGUGUAUUCAACUCCUUCUGGACCCUCGACGUGCUUUCCACCUAAAGAAUAUUUAAAAAGAAAAAUGACACUCAACAUUUAGAACGGGUAUAGAGAAGAAACUGAGUGCUCGAUGUUUGUGUACGGAAGUAUGCCUCGCACACACAUACAUCUCCCCUUUGUCGCGCAUGUGUAAAAAAAAGUUUAUUACUUAGAUGAAGAUAUUUGUCUACGUCGUGUACACCUUUCUGUAAUUGUGGACAUCAUUGCAAUUCUUCGCGCAACCUUCGUUGCGGUUACUGCACUUACUUUAGUAAAGAAAGAAAAAAACCCGACAGUUGUGCUCAACCUGCGAUGCACUAUUACAUUUUUUUUCUUCCAAUUCUUGAGAUUUGUAAAAUGAGCAUCCACCCAUUACUAACGUAUACGUCCCAUCCGUGCGAGACUGCUGCACUUGGCGGUCUUUCAUUUUCUUUCAACUGAAAAAGAUGCUAAACAGUUUUGAAAUGUCACCAAGAAAUGAUACGUCCAUUUACUUGAUACGUACUAAAUGUCUGUUUCUACUGUUAAUUAGUCUACAUACGUUAGUCACGUUUUCGACGUUGCCACACAGUUUUCAAACAACAGGUGCGUUAAGCCGCUGUCCAGAGCAUUGCUUCCCUCUCGUCGAAUUUUGGUUCAAUUUUUUCUUAAUGUUAAUUGCUUUGGAAAAUCUGCUCAACAGAGUGACGAUGUAAAUUACCUUGUUAGUGCAGUAAUUUUAUUUUGGCAAUUACUUUGCUUUUUAGUGCAUAUUUUAGAAAGCUCUGUAAUAGAGAACGCACGCUCUUACUUAAAAAACUUGAUUUUCCUUUUUUAUUUAUUAUCUGCGAAUAGGCGUAAAAGCUAAGAAAAUAGCACCAAUAUCUCGAAUGCAGCUUGUUUGCUAUUCAAAAAAAAAAAAGUAUGUGGAUUGCCAUUCGUAUACCUGAGAUUACACGUUGUUAUCAUUGUGUAGCCAAGAUAGAAAUGGGAAAUCCCGAAUCGUGCUUGUAAUUUGAGAGCAGUGUGCGGUCAUUUGCAUUCCUCUGUGGACGGCAGCUUUCGCCCAAAACAAACAUUCGCCUAUAAAGCUUCGCCGGUGUUCACAAGCUCAAUCACCAAUUUUGUGAAAAGCGGUGGAUCCAUCGAACUAUCGACUUAACCCCGGAUCUUUUUUUUUUAAAUUUCUGACCGUACACAAUGUAGCAGGUUUGCCUCUUCUUGUUUCUUUGCUCAGAGAUGACAAACAGGAGUGUUUUUGUCUUGUUGGCAUAUUUCUCCAGCUAGUCAAUGUUUUGCGUGUGCAUGCGUCUGGUAUACAUAUUACAUGCAGUCGUGUUUUUUUCCUCCUCUCUCUCAUCUGGUUAAGAGGGUGAGGUUGAAAGUAUAUAUAGCUGAUAUCGCCUAUGAAGCGUUUGCGAAGAAAACAUUUCUUAUUACCGACCCCCCCCCCCCCCUUUUUUUUCUUCCUGUAGUUUGUGUUUUAUUGGUGCUAAUUUAGUUUAAGAACUGAUAUUUUAUUUCUCUCCUUCCUUUUUGUUGCAUCUGUGUGUGUUUCGUUGUUGUCUUCGUUGCAUAACCAUGACAAAUUAAGUUUUCGAGCUCCUUUAUUGUCCACUGAGGAGAAGUGUAAUUGCGCUCGUUCUCUGUUUUUAGCUGCUUUGCCUCCCGUACUUUUCGUCUUCUCAUAGUUUGUCUCUCUUCUUCUUCUUCUUUGCGAUGCUGGGGCCUGCACAAAUUCUGCUUGAUCGCCACCUGUCGCGCUGGUCCAUUCGAUUACCUACACUACCCGAAACUGGUGCUGCACACCACCGAUAAUCGUUUCACGUGUGUUGUAUGAUGACGUCUACAAGUUUUCAUUCGUCUGAACACGGUGCCAACGUUUGUGCACAAGUGCACAACGGCGUUCCUUGUAGAAUCGGAAGUGCAAUGUUGCGAACUCGUUGCUCUAUGCAUGCACGGAACUGACUCGCUAGCAUUUGCGGAGUGCAGCGUGAAUCGAAAGGGCCUCGCGCGGGAGGUCGGCUGGGUGCAUGCAGGUUUUUAAGAUGCAGCCUCCUGGCUUGCCGUGGGCUUUCUUCCUAGUUCGCUGCAAUUCGUGAGCCUGAAGGCUUUUCUGCGUGAUCGCAUUGCCAUGCUUGGACCGCAGCUUAUUGCUUGCUCGCGCCAGUGUUCCGGUUUUCUUUGAGGGACAGUCGCUGCAAUGUCUUUUAUUAUUUUUUCUUUGCCUAAUACAAGGUCAUCAGCGAGAGUGUUGUUGUCCUGAGAGAUGGUAGUUCUCUUGUGAAAGAAUGAUGUUGAGUUUAUUAGUUUUUUUUUUCUUCUCGUGUAUCACGUGUAUGUGAAAGAAGAAAAGAAAAAAAAGGUGUGUUGAGACUGUUCGCGGUCUUGCUUCACUUUCUUUUUUUUCUGUUACACGAAGGGAGACAGUCAUCAAGUGCGCAAUAAAAUAAGGCAGAUUCCCAAAAGUA
Rhipicephalus microplus (southern cattle tick) is the source of this 8247-nucleotide long non-coding RNA. The record is from RefSeq and is a predicted model, not a curated record. Lineage: Eukaryota; Metazoa; Arthropoda; Arachnida; Ixodida; Ixodidae.